GGGGUUGACAUGGAUUUGACGGCGAGAUGAAAUGGUACGUAAGCACGCGGAGACUCGUCGGCUAUCUCCAUAAUCAUAGUGGACAUAAAAUUUAAUUGGCGAAAACAAUUACGCUCUCGCUGCCUAAUCGAAGUACAGUAGAUUACUGGCUUUAUUCCGUCACUAGGUGAUGGAACGAGACAUCGCUCCAAGGAUGUUGUUCCGAAUCUGAGGGUCAAGCGGUGCAGGACAAUCGGAAAUAGCUUGUGUAGGCUCCGAUGCAUGAGUGAAAUUUAGGAGAUAAGGGUAUGGUUGGUGGUCCAGGUCUUGCCAUGCCUCGAAAACCAAAGGCUGGAAUAAGCGUGUAGAAAGCGUAUGGUUUCCUUGUGCGGACGUGGGUUCGAAUCCCACCAGCUCCACU
This 400-nucleotide transfer-messenger RNA is filed under the name uncultured Prevotella sp. It matches the Rfam family "transfer-messenger RNA". From Rfam's summary of the family: Bacterial tmRNA, also known as 10Sa RNA or SsrA, is named for its dual tRNA and mRNA-like properties. Its role is to liberate the mRNA from a stalled ribosome. Lineage: Bacteria; Pseudomonadati; Bacteroidota; Bacteroidia; Bacteroidales; Prevotellaceae. The record is from RNAcentral.